This 251-nucleotide non-coding RNA is filed under the name Clostridium acidisoli. RNAcentral describes it as "T-box sequence". It matches the Rfam family "T-box leader". From Rfam's summary of the family: Uncharged tRNA acts as the effector for transcription antitermination of genes in the T-box leader family. Lineage: Bacteria; Bacillati; Bacillota; Clostridia; Eubacteriales; Clostridiaceae. The record is from RNAcentral.
AUAAAUCUGUUGACAAGGAAGAGUAGUCAUUUUGUUUAGUUAAAGAGAGCUGAGGGCGGUGGAAUCUCAGUACAAAAACCUUUGAUGAAUGGACCUUUGAGGAUUAAACCGAAAUUCUUUAAAACUUUUAAAGAAGAGUAGUGGUUAACGUUUUUCGUACGUUAUAACGAAUAGGAUAUGUUAGUAUUCGAAAAAGAGGUGUUUUUUUAACACAAUUUAGGUGGUACCGCGGAAGUAUCUCCGUCCUAAUG